This 342-nucleotide ribosomal RNA is filed under the name uncultured eukaryote. RNAcentral's name for it is "partial 18S ribosomal RNA". It matches the Rfam family "Eukaryotic small subunit ribosomal RNA", at positions 1470 to 1796 of the family's 1831-position model. The record is from RNAcentral.
CCCUUAGAUGUCCUGGGCCGCACGCGCGUUACACUGACGAAUGCAACGAGUUUUUCUUUUUUUCCUUUUCCGAUGGGAAUGGGUAAGCUUUUGAAAGUUCGUCGUGAUGGGGAUAGAACCUUGCAAUUAUUGUUCUUGAACGAGGAAUUCCUAGUAAGCGUAGUUCAUCAAACUGCGUUGAUUACGUCCCUGCCCUUUGUACACACCGCCCGUCGCUAGUACCGAUUGAAUGAUCCGGUGAGGAUUCAGGACGGCAGAAUUUUUAGUUUGUCUGAAAGGAUAAGCGGAUUCAGCCGAAAUUUGUUCAAACCGUGUCAUUUAGAGGAACUAAAAGUCGUAACA